RNAcentral lists this ribosomal RNA (496 nucleotides) under uncultured bacterium. RNAcentral describes it as "partial 16S ribosomal RNA". It matches the Rfam family "Bacterial small subunit ribosomal RNA", at positions 28 to 507 of the family's 1533-position model. The record is from RNAcentral.
GAUGAACGCUGGCGGCGUGCCUAAUACAUGCAAGUCGAGCGAACAGACGAGGAGCUUGCUCCUCUGACGUAGCGGCGGACGGGUGAGUAACACGUGGAUAACCUACCUAUAAGACUGGGAUAACUUCGGGAAACCGGAGCUAAUACCGGAUAACAUGUUGAACCGCAUGGUUCAACAGUGAAAGACGGUCUUGCUGUCACUUAUAGAUGGGUCCGCGCCGCAUUAGCUAGUUGGUAAGGUAACGGCUUACCAAGGCAACGAUGCGUAGCCGACCUGAGAGGGUGAUCGGCCACACUGGAACUGAGACACGGUCCAGACUCCUACGGGAGGCAGCAGUAGGGAAUCUUCCGCAAUGGGCGAAAGCCUGACGGAGCAACGCCGCGUGAGUGAUGAAGGUCUUCGGAUCGUAAAACUCUGUUAUUAGGGAAGAACAAAUGUGUAAGUAACUAUGCACGUCUUGACGGUGCCUAAUCAGAAAGCCACGGCUAACUACGUG